Molecule: long non-coding RNA, 765 nt
Filed under: Homo sapiens (human)
Lineage: Eukaryota; Metazoa; Chordata; Mammalia; Primates; Hominidae
Description: HSALNT0295984
Source: RNAcentral
GGACACGAGGCUCUCGCCUCUCCCGUUCGGACGCCCUAAGCCUCCGGACUUACCGUUGGCAUCCCAAACGCCUUUCCGGAGCCACAAAGACAGGAAGAGAGCGUCAGCAUCCGAAAGACCGGAAAUAAGCACUGGCCGGAAACCGUGGUGUUCCGCCCAAUGCCUUGUGGGAGUUGUAGUUCUUGGAGAAGCCCCACCUUUCCCUUUGUAGUGCCCGCCUGCCUGAGAGGCUGUGAGCGCUCCUAAGAGGAAGAAGAUCCCAGCCUUGUUCAGACGAAGAGGCGGAAGCAGAACAAGGUUUGCAUUCUCCAGAUGAGGAAAAAUGAGGUGAAAGAGGAAGACAAGGAGGACAAGGAGGAUGAGGAAGAGGAGGAGGACCAGAGAGAGGGGCCCCCUACCUCUUUGCAAUCACCUAGGACAGGACAGAGGCAAUGCCCGUACUCAAGAAUCCGCCAAGUGAGGCACAAGGAGCACCUGAGCAUCUUGGAAAGUGGCUUGAGCUUAUCCACCAAUGAAACCAAGUUGUCUGUCCAUGUUUUUGCCAAUACUUAUGUAGCUGCUGCCACAGGAAGCAGAAGUCAGUGGAGGAAAACAAGGCAUCCGACUCUGGAGCAAGGAGGAGCCCGGGUGAGACUGACUCAGCUGUGAGCUUCACUAAUGGGUGAUGGUCCAGAUCUCCACGGGGCUCCAAGGAAAGCUCUGGGCAGAAGCCAGAAGAGCAGAGUGUAAUCCUUCCGCUUAGAAAUAAAGCACAUUUUAUUUUUG